AAAAAAAGAACAACCCAAAUGAAUUGUGGAGAAGAGUUGGGGUUAUGGGAAAAGACGUGCCUUCGACGAUUUUAGGAUAGAAGAUGUUGAAAAUAACACUUCUAGCGCGUAUUUUUUUUUUAAUAAUAAAUGUUUAUGUUGAAGGAAAGAAUCAUCAUAGAAUCACAGAGAUAGAGACUAGCUAACAGUUUCCUAUAAUAGCUAGGUUGCUGUAUCACCGAAGCCUUAUCUCUAAAGGCUAGGUUUGUAAAUGUACAUAAAAUCCUAAGGUGUGUAGGGUUUUAUACCAGACUGUAUAUAUAGCUUGUAACAUAGCUUUCAUUUAAUAAGAAAAGUUAGCCUUCUUCGGCCUAGUUUUCUACAUGGUAUCAGAGCGACACCGAUCCUAAACACCACAAUCCAUCACAAAACCAAACCUUCAGUCCCAAAUAUGACCGACGUCGAAAAGAAGGACGCCAAGUCCGAUACUUCUGACUCGAACGCACGGAAUCCAUGGGACAACACCAACCACGCUCUUCACCUGCACCACUCGGAUCAACCGGGCGCUGUUCUUAUCACACAGGCCCUAAUGGAGGACAACUUCACCGAAUGGUCGCAAUCCAUGAGCGACUCCCUGAAAAUCAAAAACAAAUUGGGGUUUGUUCUCGGGACUCAAAUCAAACCUAGCAUCAAUGAGGAGGAAUUGCAGCAGUGGGAGCGCUGCGACACCCUUGUGAAAACAUGGCUUGUUGCAGCAAUGUCCAAGCCGAUUGCCAGCAGCGUCCGACACUGCAAGACUGCAAGAGAUGUAUGGGUUGAGUUGUCUGAGAGGUUCUUACAGACGAACACCGUCCAAUUGUUUAACAUAGAACAUGCUAUUCAUGGCUGCUUUCAAGGCACAGACUCCGUAACGAGUUUCUACACAAAGCUGAAAGCUCUAUGGGACGACAGAGAUGCUCUUUGCAAUCUCUCACCUUGCAAAUGUGAGCUUACAGAAUAUAUGAAAAACCAGAAGACAAUGAAAUUUCUCAUGGGAUUGAACGAUAGCUAUGACAUCCUUCGUAGCAACAUCGUCGCAAUUGAUCCAUUACCGACAGUUAACAAAGCCUAUUCUAUGGCUUUACGGCAUGAGAAACAAGCAGCUGCUUCGAACAACAGCAAGCAGAUUUCACAGCCAGAGGGAGCCGCUUUCUCGGUUAAGCAAAACCACCGAGAUGAAGGAGAGUCCAGUGAACGUGAUGUUCGAUCUAAUGAGCGUGAAGUGAGAUGUGAAAAGUGUGGCAAGAAGCACCAAACCAAAAAUUGUCGCCAACAUCUCAAGUGUACCUAUUGCAAAUGGAAAGGUCACACCAUUGAGGACUGUCGCACAAGAAAAAGAGAUGAGGAUAGAAAAGGCCGAAGCAAUCAUGUCGAUUCCAAUAACCUAUCCGAGUCAGACAUCAGUUUUCCCUUCUCCAAAGAAGUGUGCGGCAAAAUUGUCAAGUUACUGAGCCAACACAAAGAUUCGGCAGCCAACAACGUUGGUAACAACUCUCACUUUGAUAACCUAUCAGGUAAAGCCUUUAAAUUUUCGAACAACAAUAGUGUUUGGAUAUUGGACAGCGGAGCCACUGACCAUAUCGUUUGUCAUCCUAAUCUCCUCACAAACAAAUAUCCUACCCAACAUCGAUUUGUUAAGUUACCUGAUGGCACAAAGGCACCAGUCUCUCAUAUCGGGACAAUAGCCUUUUCUCCUAAUUUCAUAUUACACAAUGUUCUCUGUGUUCCCAUAUUCUAUCUCAACUUAAUCUCCAUCACCAAACUUACCCAUGAUUCAUUUUGUGUGACUAUAUUUCUCAAAGAGCUUUGUUUCAUACAGGACCUUCGCUCGGGGAAGAUGAUUGGGACAGGGAUUGAGAAGGAAGGAUUGUACUGCCUCAACCAAGCUCAUCAGAUCAAAUGCAACACAGUUUCGGUCGAUAGGCAGUCCUCACUGUGGCACCAGCGCCUCGGUCACCCCUCUACUCGAGUCUUUCCCUUAUUUCCUUUCCUCGCAACUAAACCUUGCGACGCAAGUAGUUGUUCAAUUUGUCCUUUAGCAAAACACACCAGAAACGUUUUUCCUUUGAGUUCAAUUUCUAGCCACAAAGCUUUUGAUUUGAUUCAUGUAGACAUUUGGGGAGGUUAUCAUGAACCCUCAAUUUCUGGAGCAAAGUAUUUUUUAACUAUCGUUGAUGAUUUUACUCGGUGCACAUGGGUUUAUUUGAUGAUUCAAAAAUCCGAGGCUCGUCAAUUCUUGAUCAAUUUUAUUCAUCUUGUCGAAAAUCAGUUUGAUACAACCGUCAAAAUUGUUCGUAGUGACAAUGGCCCCGAAUUCACUCUGAAAAAUUUUUAUUCCUCCAAGGGCAUUGUACAUCAAACUAGCUGCGUCAACACACCACAACAAAAUGGUGUUGCUGAACGUAAGCAUCGCCACUUGCUGAAUAUGGCUAGGGCUUUAUUAUUUCAGGCACAUCUCCCUAAGCCAUUCUGGGGAGAUGCCAUCCUCACAUCAUGUUAUUUGAUCAACCGCACUCCUACGCCUCUCCUCAAAGGUCUUAGCCCUUUCGAAAAAUUAUUCAAUACUGCACCGAAAUAUGAUCAUUUAAAGGUUUUUGGAUGUCUCUGCUUUGCGUCAACCCAUCCUCUUAAACCUACCAAAUUUGAUGCUCGGGCUACUCGAUGUAUUUUUCUAGGUUAUCCGACUGGUCAGAAGGGCUAUAAACUUCUUGAUCUCGAUCAAGAACGAGUCAUUGUCUCACGGGAUGUUACUUUUUCUGAAAACCAAUUCCCUUAUGCCGAUACUACUUCCUCUCUGCCUUAUCGACCAGUCUCUCCUCCAAUUUCGAGUCAAACACCUCGUCAACCUCGGAAUCAUAGUCCGCCCCCAUCCAAUCGAGUUUCUGAUACUAUGGGUAGUGAUAGGGUUCAUACUUUCGGUCAAACACAAAUACCUCCAGUCACUAGUCAUCCCAUUCAAGACAACCAUGCUAGAGAUAUACAUCCAGGCAAUAUCAAUCCGCCUAGAAAGUCUGAUCAAACACAGCAUGCUGGGUCUUCGGGUGAUCUGAUAUCUACAAGGGUUUUAGGAGAUAACUCACUAGUUCCAUCUUCUGUUGAAGAUAGGGUUCCAACUGUCCCUCCUCAUCCCCCAUCCACACAAACAGCUUCCGCUCCUACACCCUCACCACCUUUGCAUGCCCCUCUUCUCGAAAAUCAGUCCCAUCCUCUGCCCCGCAAGUCUUCUCGUCCCACAAGAACUCCAGACUUUCUGCAUGACUACCAUGUUGAGGCAGCUCUUCCUUCUCGUGACCUGCCGGCAUCUUCUACGGGUUCAGGUACUUCCCACUCCAUCUCACAAGUUCUUUCUUAUACUCGAUUGUCUCCUUCUCACAAAGCCUUCACUAUUAAUCUCACCCUCCACAAGGAGCCUUCUACUUAUGAACAGGCUAUGAAACUUCAGGUGUGGCGGGAUGCCAUGAGAAAAGAGAUUGAUGCACUUCAACAGAACCGUACUUGGAGUCUUGUCCCUCUUCCUGCACACAAACGUCCUAUCGGAUGCAAAUGGGUUUACAAAAUCAAACUCAAUCCAGAUGGUUCUGUUGAACGAUACAAAGCCAGACUUGUUGCCAAGGGAUAUAGUCAGGUUGAAGGAAUUGAUUAUAGAGAGACAUUUGCUCCUGUUGCCAAGCUCACCACCGUGCGUCUUCUUCUCAGCCUUGCCGCCCUCCGGCAUUGGCAUAUCCAUCAACUUGAUGUCAACAAUGCCUUCUUAUAUGGUGACCUUGAAGAAGAAGUGUACAUGAAACUUCCUCCCGGUUUUGGUCGAAAGGGGGAGCAUAAGGUUUGCCGGUUACAUAAAAGCUUGUAUGGCCUCAAACAAGCAUCGAGACAGUGGUUCAUUAAACUGUCUUUGGCACUUAGGGCAGCAGGAUUCACACAAAGCUGGUCAGACUAUUCAUUGUUCGUCCGAAACCGAAAUGACAAGUUUACAGUACUCUUGGUUUAUGUGGAUGAUGUAAUAUUAACUGGCAACAGUCUUGAAGAGAUUGCAUCGAUCAAAGAGUCACUCUCUCGGCAGUUCAAGCUCAAGGACCUUGGCAACCUGAAAUAUUUCUUGGGAAUUGAAGUGGCACGGUCAAGACAAGGCAUAUCUCUCUCACAAAGGAAGUAUGCAUUAGAGAUACUUGAAGAUGCGGGAUUUCUUGCUGCUAAACCGUCUAGAUUCCCAGUAGAUCAGAACCUGGCACUUACGCAGACAGGGGGAGAGUUGUUAUCCGAUCCAUCACAGUAUAGAAGACUUGUUGGGAGGAUGAUCUAUUUGACCAUUACUAGACCGGACUUGACCUAUGCAGUUCAUAUUUUGACUCAGUUCAUGGACAAACCACGCCAACCUCACCUUGAUGCAGCCUAUCAUGUAUUGAGGUAUGUGAAGAACACUCCAGGCCAAGGUAUUCUUUUACCGUCUACAGGAAAGCUCGAGUUGACAGCUUUCUGUGACGCUGAUUGGGCACGCUGCAAGGAUACGAGAAGGUCCAUCACAGGUUACUUUGUCAUGUUUGGACAAGCACCUAUAUCAUGGAGAACGAAGAAGCAAAGCACAGUUUCACGUUCUAGCGCGGAAGCCGAGUAUCGAUCCAUGGCAUCCACAUGCUGUGAAGUUACAUGGCUUAGAAACAUAUUAAAGGACUUGCAAGUCAAACAGGUACGGCCUACAAAAUUAUUCUGUGACAAUCAAGCCGCUAUCCACAUAGCUACUAAUCCAGUAUUUCAUGAGAGGACAAAACAUAUUGAAAUAGAUUGUCAUGUUGUACGUGAAAAGAUGCAACGUGGAGUGAUCAAAGCUGCACAUGUAAGUACUAAAGAGCAACCUGCAGACCUUUUCACGAAACCUUUGAGUUCGGUUCAGUUUGAGAUCCUUCUUAACAAGCUAGGUGUAGUCAACAUACACACUACCUUGAGGGGGAGUGUUGAAGAAAAGAAUCAUCAUAGAAUCACAGAGAUAGAGACUAGCUAACAGUUUCCUAUAAUAGCUAGGUUGCUGUAUCACCGAAGCCUUAUCUCUAAAGGCUAGGUUUGUAAAUGUACAUAAAAUCCUAAGGUGUGUAGGGUUUUAUACCAGACUGUAUAUAUAGCUUGUAACAUAGCUUUCAUUCAAUAAGAAAAGUUAGCCUUCUUCGGCCUAGUUUUCUACAGUUUAUUUUGGUCAUUUAGCUUACUUAUAAAAUCUCAAUAGAAACAUAAAAUAAUAAAGGUGUGUAUUAAGAAAUUAAGGGUGUGU
Molecule: long non-coding RNA, 5278 nt
Filed under: Fragaria vesca (wild strawberry)
Lineage: Eukaryota; Viridiplantae; Streptophyta; Magnoliopsida; Rosales; Rosaceae
Description: long non-coding RNA (FVES_LNC000747)
Source: RNAcentral